GACGAACGCUGGCGGCGUGCUUAACACAUGCAAGUCGAACGGAAAGGCCCUGCUUUUGUGGGGUGCUCGAGUGGCGAACGGGUGAGUAACACGUGAGUAACCUGCCAUUGACUUUGGGAUAACUUCAGGAAACUGGGGCUAAUACCGGAUAGGAGCUCCUGCUGCAUGGUGGGGGUUGGAAAGUUUCGGCGGUUGGGGCUGGACUCGCGGCUUAUCAGCUUGUUGGUGGGGUAGUGGCUUACCAAGGCUUUGACGGGUAGCCGGCCUGAGAGGGUGACCGGCCACAUUGGGACUGAGGUACGGCCCAGACUCCUACGGGAGGCAGCAGUGGGGAAUAUUGCACAAUGGGCGGAAGCCUGAUGCAGCAACGCCGCGUGCGGGAUGACGGCCUUCGGGUUGUAAACCGCUUUCGCCUGUGACGAAGCGUGAGUGACGGUAAUGGGUAAAGAAGCACCGGCUAACUACGUG
RNAcentral lists this ribosomal RNA (468 nucleotides) under uncultured bacterium. RNAcentral's name for it is "partial 16S ribosomal RNA". It matches the Rfam family "Bacterial small subunit ribosomal RNA", at positions 28 to 507 of the family's 1533-position model. The record is from RNAcentral.